Molecule: transfer RNA, 72 nt
Filed under: Peptacetobacter hiranonis DSM 13275
Lineage: Bacteria; Bacillati; Bacillota; Clostridia; Peptostreptococcales; Peptostreptococcaceae
Description: Clostridium hiranonis DSM 13275 tRNA
Rfam family: tRNA
About the family: Transfer RNA (tRNA) molecules are approximately 80 nucleotides in length. Their secondary structure includes four short double-helical elements and three loops (D, anti-codon, and T loops).
Source: Rfam by way of RNAcentral
GGGUUAUAGCUCAGCUGGGAGAGCAUCUGCCUUACAAGCAGGGGGUCACAGGUUCGAGCCCUGUUAACCCCA